UUUAUUGGAGAGUUUGAUCCUGGCUCAGGAUGAACGCUGGCGGCGUGCCUAAUACAUGCAAGUCGAGCGAAUGGAUUAAGAGCUUGCUCUUAUGAAGUUAGCGGCGGACGGGUGAGUAACACGUGGGUAACCUGCCCAUAAGACUGGGAUAACUCCGGGAAACCGGGGCUAAUACCGGAUAACAUUUUGAACCGCAUGGUUCGAAAUUGAAAGGCGGCUUCGGCUGUCACUUAUGGAUGGACCCGCGUCGCAUUAGC
This 257-nucleotide ribosomal RNA is filed under the name Bacillus anthracis (anthrax bacterium). RNAcentral's name for it is "partial 16S ribosomal RNA". It matches the Rfam family "Bacterial small subunit ribosomal RNA", at positions 1 to 245 of the family's 1533-position model. Lineage: Bacteria; Bacillati; Bacillota; Bacilli; Caryophanales; Bacillaceae. The record is from RNAcentral.